GAUGAAGAACGUAGCGAAAUGCGAUAAGUAAUGUGAAUUGCAGAAUUCAGUGAAUCAUCGAAUCUUUGAACGCACAUUGCGCCCAUUAGUAUUCUAGUGGGCAUGCCUGUUCGAGCGUCAUUAAUUCCACUUAAGCCCUGCUUAGUGUUGGGAAUCUACUCUAGUGGUGCUACCCUGGAGCUACCCCUGAAAGGGGGCUGGCCCGGUAGCUACCCUGUAGUUCCUCAAAGAUAGUGCGCGGAGUUGCGUGGUCCUCUGAGCUUAGUAACUAUACACCUAGCUUUUGAGUGUGCCGCGGCGCCUGCCGUUUAAACCCCAUCUUUUAAUGGUUGACCUCGGAUCAGGUAGGAAUACCCGCUGAACUUAAGCAUAUCAAUAAGCGGAGGA
Molecule: unclassified non-coding RNA, 387 nt
Filed under: soil metagenome
Description: partial contains 5.8S ribosomal RNA, internal transcribed spacer 2, and large subunit ribosomal RNA
Rfam family: 5.8S ribosomal RNA (bases 1-120)
Source: RNAcentral